RNAcentral lists this long non-coding RNA (251 nucleotides) under Elaeis guineensis (African oil palm). RNAcentral's name for it is "long non-coding RNA (EGUI_LNC027124)". Lineage: Eukaryota; Viridiplantae; Streptophyta; Magnoliopsida; Arecales; Arecaceae. The record is from RNAcentral.
UCAUAAUAAGGAGCUUAGAUCAACCAAUUAAACAUAAUUCAUACCUUAAGAUCUGAAAAAUAAGUAGACAACCAUGUCGGUGCACCUGAAGAUCAAGAUGACCCAUUGUCUAAACCACCUCAUGAGUAAGUGAUCGAUUAGACCGAGUCUAAGGAGCCAGAUAAAUCUAAGGAGUCAACAGAGAUUAACAAACCAUCCAAGCUACUUAUAGAAUCCAUCUCAGGGUUUAAGCAAUUCGAGACAUCACCCAC